RNAcentral lists this ribosomal RNA (305 nucleotides) under uncultured bacterium. Its description in RNAcentral is "bacterial SSU rRNA". It matches the Rfam family "Bacterial small subunit ribosomal RNA", at positions 338 to 636 of the family's 1533-position model. The record is from RNAcentral.
CCUACGGGGCGCAGCAGUGGGGAAUUUUGGACAAUGGGCGCAAGCCUGAUCCAGCUAUUCCGCGUGUGGGAUGACGGCCCUCGGGUUGUAAACCACUUUAGUAGAGAACGAAAAGGAGCUAUCGAAUAAAUAGCUCUGCUGACGGUACUCUAAGAAUAAGCACCGGCUAACUACGUGCCAGCAGCCGCGGUAAUACGGAGGAUGCGAGCGUUAUCCGGAUUUAUUGGGUUUAAAGGGUGCGCAGGCGGGCUGUUAAGCCGGCGGUAAAAAUUCAGGGCUCAACCCUGUCGAGCCGUCGGAACUGG